UUGGGCCAGACAUUCCCUACACAGUCAUGUGCAGGUGAACCCAGGGCAGCAAGCAACAGUGUGAUCUUCUACUCACCAAAUCCAGAAGUAAGACCAGGGCAGUCCAGUCAAGGCUGCCCAACACCUGCCAUUUCCAUAUGGUUCACCCCACUGCUGAAUUUCCCACAUGGCUGGACCAGAGACAUGUAUGGGCACUUUGGUUUGGACAAACCACACACCAAAGCAAAUGCAUACUGACAUACAUUUAAUUUGAGCAUGUUCUGAAUGUUGUCUGACACCAUGAAAUACUGUUCUUCCAGGGAGGUCAAGGAAACGGCUGUAGCAAAUGCAAGGAAAGGGCUUCCCAUUGCCCUCCUUAGAGAGAACAGGAGGCACUGAUAACUCCCAGCAACAAGACACUGUCUACAAGGGAUUAUUUCCUCUGUGAUAUCCUAGCACUGCACCACAGAGGUUAACUUCUGAAGCAGUAUAAGAGGAAGUAGUAGCUCUAUCAAUCAAGAUAAGUGGUGUGGGUGUGAAGACAGGCCAACAUCGGGCAG
This 539-nucleotide long non-coding RNA is filed under the name Homo sapiens (human). Its description in RNAcentral is "non-protein coding lnc-KCNK12-1:2". Lineage: Eukaryota; Metazoa; Chordata; Mammalia; Primates; Hominidae. The record is from RNAcentral.